CCUACGGGGGGCAGCAGUGGGGAAUAUUGGGCAAUGGGCGCAAGCCUGACCCAGCAACGCCGCGUGAAGGAAGAAGGCUUUCGGGGUGUAAACUUCUUUUAAGAGGGAAGAGCAGAAGACGGUACCUCUUGAAUAAGCCACGGCUAACUACGUGCCAGCAGCCGCGGUAAUACGUAGGUGGCAAGCGUUGUCCGGAUUUACUGGGUGUAAAGGGCGUGCAGCCGGGAAGACAAGGCAGAGGUGAAAUCCGGCGGCUCAACCGCGGAACUGCAUUUGAAACUGGUUUUCUUGAGUACCGGAGAGGUCAUCGGAAUGCCUUGUGUAGCGGUGAAAUGCGUAGAUAUAAGGCAGAACACCAGUGGCGAAGGCGGAUGACUGGACGGCAACUGACGGUGAGGCGCGAAAGCGUGGGGAGCAAACAGGAUUAGAUACCCCAGUAGUC
Molecule: ribosomal RNA, 442 nt
Filed under: uncultured bacterium
Lineage: Bacteria
Description: partial 16S ribosomal RNA
Rfam family: Bacterial small subunit ribosomal RNA
Source: RNAcentral